RNAcentral lists this ribosomal RNA (116 nucleotides) under Salmonella enterica subsp. enterica serovar Indiana. Lineage: Bacteria; Pseudomonadati; Pseudomonadota; Gammaproteobacteria; Enterobacterales; Enterobacteriaceae. The record is from RNAcentral.
CCUGGCGGCACUAGCGCGGUGAUCCCACCUGACCCCAUGCCGAACGCAGAAGUGAAACGCCGUAGCGCCGAUGGUAGUGUGGGGUCUCCCCAUGCGAGAGUAGGGAACUGCCAGGC